RNAcentral lists this ribosomal RNA (403 nucleotides) under bacterium. Its description in RNAcentral is "partial 16S ribosomal RNA". It matches the Rfam family "Bacterial small subunit ribosomal RNA", at positions 355 to 776 of the family's 1533-position model. The record is from RNAcentral.
UGGGGAAUAUUGCACAAUGGGGGAAACCCUGAUGCAGCGACGCCGCGUGAACGAAGAAGGUAUUCGUAUCGUAAAGUUCUGUCCUAUGGGAAGAUAAUGACAGUACCAUAGAAGAAAGCUCCGGCUAAAUACGUGCCAGCAGCCGCGGUAAUACGUAUGGAGCGAGCGUUGUCCGGAAUUAUUGGGCGUAAAGGGUACGCAGGCGGUUUAAUAAGUCGAAUGUUAAAGAUCGGGGCUCAACCCCGUAAAGCAUUGGAAACUGAUAAACUUGAGUAGUGGAGAGGAAAGUGGAAUUCCUAGUGUAGUGGUAAAAUACGUAGAUAUUAGGAGGAAUACCAGUAGCGAAGGCGACUUUCUGGACACAAACUGACGCUGAGGUACGAAAGCGUGGGGAGCAAACAGG